AAGGCCGGCAAUAAAGGGUGAUAGCCCCGUAUCUGAAACGGUAAGUGUUGUGAACUCGAAGAGUAGGGCGGGACACGUGUUAUCCUGUCUGAAUAUGGGGGGACCAUCCUCCAAGGCUAAAUACUCCUGACUGACCGAUAGUGAACCAGUACCGUGAGGGAAAGGCGAAAAGAACCCCGGCGAGGGGAGUGAAAUAGAACCUGAAACCGUGUACGUACAAGCAGUGGGAGCACCCGAAAGGGUGUGACUGCGUACCUUUUGUAUAAUGGGUCAGCGACUUAUAUUCUG
Molecule: ribosomal RNA, 288 nt
Filed under: Arsenophonus endosymbiont of Bemisia tabaci Asia II 3
Lineage: Bacteria; Pseudomonadati; Pseudomonadota; Gammaproteobacteria; Enterobacterales; Morganellaceae
Description: partial 23S ribosomal RNA
Rfam family: Bacterial large subunit ribosomal RNA
Source: RNAcentral